GGCAGAUCCAUUUUCUGCCACCGAAUACAUUAGCAUGGGAUAAUGGAAUAGGACCCUGUCCUCCUAUUUUCAGUUGGUUUUGGCAGCGCGAGGACUAGGGUAAUGAUUAAUAGGGAUAGUUGGGGGCAUUAAUAUUUAAUUGUCAGAGGUGAAAUUCUUGGAUUUAUGAAAGAUUAACUUCUGCGAAAGCAUCUGCCAAGGAUGUUUUCAUUAAUCAAGAACGAAAGUUAGGGGAUCGAAGACGAUCAGAUACCGUCGUAGUCUUAACCAUAAACGAUGCCGACCAGCGAUUAGGAGACGUUGAAUACAAAACACCACCAUCGGUUGCGGUCGUCCUUGGCGUCUCGGUUUCGGCCGGGGCGCGGGGAUGGCUUAGCCCGGUGGCACCGGUGAAUGACUCCCCUAGCAGCUUGUGAGAA
This 419-nucleotide ribosomal RNA is filed under the name Acanthamoeba genotype T4. RNAcentral describes it as "SSU rRNA". It matches the Rfam family "Eukaryotic small subunit ribosomal RNA", at positions 779 to 1096 of the family's 1831-position model. The record is from RNAcentral. Lineage: Eukaryota; Discosea; Longamoebia; Acanthamoebidae.